UCUUGAGUUCUGUGAGCCAAUCUAGCAAAUUAAUGGAACCCUGUGAAGGGGUCAUGGGGACCUCUGAUUUAUAGACAGUAGGUUAGAAGAAGAGGUAACAACCUGGGUUUGUGACUGGCUUCUGAUGUGUGGGGUGGGGGCAAUCUUGUGUGACCGAAUCCUUAACCUGUGAGAUCUAAUGCUGUCUCCAGGUCGAUAUUGUUAGAAUUCAGUUGAAUUCUAGAACACCAAGCUGGUGUCAGAGCAUUGUUGGAUGAUGUCGUGGAAACCCCCAUUCCUCUCCCCCCAUGUUGGAAUUGGGUUCAGAACCCCUAAGAAUGACCAACAGGAGAUGACACUGAUUAGGUAGCAAAGGAGGCUUCUUUGGAAGGGGGGCAUUUGAGUGGAUAUUUGGCUAAUGGAUUGAUUAGCUUCUUUCAUCCCCUUGCAUGUUGGCUGGCCUGAACAACUUACUUCAAUAAACAGAAUAUGGCAGAAAUGGCGGGAUGCUAUAAAAUGACUGUGGCUUCUCUCUUGGUUUCUCUGUUUCUUUCUCUUGGGUCACUUACUCCAGGUGAAGCCAGUUUCCAUCUCAUGAAACAUCUCUACAUAGAGACCCACAUGUACCUAGCAUGCCAUCAACCUAAUUAACAUGCACAGAGCACUUAGUACAUGUUGAACAUGGUGUAAAACUGAGACAGAAAAGAGAGAGGUUACCUAGUGAUGCCACCUAGAAGUGGAGGAACCAGGAUCUGAACGCAGGCAGUCUGGGUUCAGAGUUCUUAAUAAACAUUUGUGUU
Long non-coding RNA from Neofelis nebulosa (Clouded leopard), 779 nucleotides. RefSeq lists it as uncharacterized. The record is from RefSeq and is a predicted model, not a curated record. Lineage: Eukaryota; Metazoa; Chordata; Mammalia; Carnivora; Felidae. The transcript has 3 exons.